This 12001-nucleotide long non-coding RNA is filed under the name Homo sapiens (human). Its description in RNAcentral is "non-protein coding lnc-TFB2M-7:1". The record is from RNAcentral. Lineage: Eukaryota; Metazoa; Chordata; Mammalia; Primates; Hominidae.
GCUAUAUGUCUCUGUGUUCUUUUUCAAUGGUUUCUCUAGGAUUAUAAAACAGAUAAUUAAAUUUUCACAGUCUAAAGUUAACAUUGUCCCAUUUCAUGUAAAAUAUGAACUCCUCAGUCUUACAGAUGUCAUAUAUAUUAUAUUUGCAUAUUUUAAAGCUCCCUCAAUACAACAUUUUACUUCUUUAAGUAGCCAUAUAUAUUUUGAAGAAAUUCAGAGAAAGAGUCUUUUAUACUUCCCUACGUAUUUACCAUUUCCAGCACCCUUCAUUCUUUCAUGAAAUUUCAGCCUUCCAUCUAGUCUCAUUGUCCUGCAGCCUGAAGGACUUCCUUUAGCACCUCCGGUAGUACAGGUCUGCUGGUAAUAAAUUAUUUUAGUUUUCUUUUAUAUGAAAAUGUCUUUAUUUUGCCUUUAUUCUUGCAGACAAUUUUUUGCUGGAUAGAGGAUUCUAGAUUGGCAGCUUCUCUUCUCCUUCUCUUUCAGCACAUUUCUGUUUCUUAUUGCUGUUGUAAGAAAGUACCACAAACUUAGUGGCAUAAGAAAAUGGAAAAUUCCUUUUGUCUUCACAGGCAACAAUAUCAUGCUGAGUUCUUACCAUGUAAGACUGAGUUCUUAUCACUGCCGUCUCUCUGGUUCUUUUAUUUGUGUCUUUCUCUUCCUCUUCCAUUUUUAUUGGAUUAUUUUUCAUUCAUUUCACAUUUUAUUCAUAUCACAUUUUUAAGAUUCUUUGUUGAUAUUUCCUAUUUGUUCAUUACAAGCAUAUUUUCCUGUCUUUUCUUGGGCAUAGUAAUGAAAGCUGACUAUAAACAUUCUUACCUAGUUUUUGAGGCAGUUGGGCCAUUUUGGGUUGGUUUUCAUUGAUUGAAUUUUUUUUUCUUGAGAAUGGGUCACCCUGUCCUCUUCCCUCAUAUGUCUAGUAAUUUUGGGUUUUAUUCAGAACAUUUUUAAUAUGUUAUAGGUUUCUGGAUUCUCUUAUAUUCCUCUGAAGUGUGUGUGUGUGUGUGUGUGUGUGUGUGUGUGUGUGUAUUGCUUUAGCAUGCUAUUAUAUUGGCAGAUGUGUGCUCCAACUUUGUUACCCCUGUGAAGGGCAGCAACUGAAAUCACUUUUCAGUUCUUUUAGACUUUUCCGGACUGCUGGGCCUCUCCUCAAUGCAUGUGGAUAGUAGGGGUCACCCAGAGAUUCAGGCAUUUUAUGCACUAGACUCUGGCCCUCACUGGGAUUUUUUUCCUGUCACUUUCCUUUUGUUUCUUUAAGAAGCUGCAGAUUUCUAUCCAACUUGCAGUUGCCCCAGCUGGCACAGCCAGAAAAUUUCUGGCUUCAAUUUAAAAAGCUUUAUAAACAAGAAACUCAUCUAGUGUUUUUCAUUUAUUUUCAAGUGUUAACUCCCUUCCAGUUUCUGUCUGCUUUUGGCCACUCUCUAGUACCUUCAGUUAGUUUUUUUAAAUGUCGAAUCCAGAGCUUAUAGUUGUUAUAUUUGGUAUGUUAUAUAUGGGAGGAGCUGCCUUAUUAUUACCAGAAGUUUUAUUAUGGUUGUUGCUUCUAGUGUAUGUUCACAGUUUGUUUUUUUUUUUUAAUUUUUUUUGGCAAACCAAUAAAAAAGGAAGAUAAUUUUUUUUUAUUUGCAAAACAUGCUUUACUAGGAAUUAGCCUAAGGAUUCUCAAAAGUACUGGUCAAAGUCAAUGCUUUGGAGCUGCAGACUGCUUAUUAAUUUAGUUUGAUCUUAUCUAGAUAUCCUUCUGGUGCUACUGACCUGGGCCAGGGGUGUCUAAUCUUUUGGCUUCCCUGGGCCACACUGGAAGGAGACAAAUUGUCUUGAGCCAUACAUAAAAUACACUAACAUGAAUGAUAGCUGAUGAGCUAAAAGAACAAAAAUCACACAAAAAAACUUAUGUUUUAAGAAAGUUUGCAAGUUUGCGUUUGGCCACAUUCAAAGCCAUGCUGGGCCACAGGUUGGACAAGCUUGACCUAGGCCGAGACCAAUUUGCCAUCUAUUACACUUGAUUUCUUCUUAGGAAAUUGUGCCUGACACAUGGGCAUAUGGUUGCGCCAGAAUGGAGUCAUACGGAACUUCUGUAGUAUCUGGCGUUGUGCUUUCCAGUACCUCUAUGGAGGUUUGGACCAUAAUCUUGAGAGACACUAUCUUGAAUGCCAUAAUUCCAAAUGUUGAAAUUUUGAAAGAUUAAAAUCCCUAAAGUCUAGUUUUAUUUAUUUAUUUAUUUUGAGACAGAGUCUUGCCCUGUCACCUAGGCUGGAGUACCGUGGCGUGAUCUUGGCUUGCUGCAACCUCUGCCUCCGGGUCUCCAGCAAUCUUUCCACCUCAGCCUCCCGAGUAGCUGGGGCUGCAGGUAGGAGCCAUCAUGCCCGGCUAAUUUUUGUAUUUUUUGUAGAGAUCGGGUUUUGCCAUGUUGCCCAGGCUGGUCUUGAACUCCUGGGCUCAAGCGAUCUGCCCGCCUUGGCCUCCCAAAGUGCUGAGAUUAUAGGUGUGAUUCACUAGCUCCAGCCUAAAAUCCCUAAAUUCUAAAAUCCCCAAAUCACAAUUCUGAGAGACCAAAAUUUCAAAAAUAUAAUUGUGGAAUAAAGUUUUAAAAAUAUUUAAAAUACAUUUGUUACAAUUUUAAAAGAAGACUUUAGAGACAUAUAAAUACAUGACUGAACACAUUAUAGGCCACUUUACACAGUAAAAUAGGCAACAAUACCAUACAUGUUCUCUUUGCAAGCAUCAACACACAGAUAUACUAAUGGGAGUCACUCAGCUAUUAUAGCUAUGAACAGACAAACUGUAUUUAUAAAGAAAUAGGUCAGAAAGUGAAAUGUGUGAACGCUUAUUACUAUGGUUGGAAAUUGUAUGCAUCCAUCGUUGUAACUGCAGUCAUCAAAAAUACCCUGACAGACAUGUUUUGAUGAGAUGGAUCAAAAACCUCUGGUCACUGCCACAAAUACAGUCACUCAAAGAGCCAAGGUCUCAAGAAAUUUUAUCUUUCACAAAUGGAGACACAGAAAAAAGGCAGUUCUUCAUUUAUGGAAGAAGUUUCAGUGUUUUUAUGUACAUGCACCAUGCUUAUACACAAAGCAGCAUUGUGAUAAUGCGUGUACUUGGAAUAAUGUUUCUUACGUCCAAGGCAGAAGAAAAGUCUGUCUCAUCUCUCAGAGAGAAAGCAGUUUACCAUCUGUGUUUGUUCCCUCUGGACCCAAGGCUGAUUGGAUGGUGCCCGCCAACAUUUUAGGCAGAUCUCCACCUACUCCAUUCAGAGUCAUGUACUAAUCUCCUCUGGAAACACCCUUACAGACAUAUCUGAAAUAAUGCUUUACCAAGUUACUAGAUAACUCUUUAAUCCAGUCAAGCUGACACCGAAAAUUAAGUCUACAAGUCUACCCCUUGUGAAUCUGGCACCUGUACACAUCUUAAACCAUAGCUAAUUUCCAGAUGAAGACAACCACAAGAUAAGAGUCCUGUCUAACAUGAUAGAACUAACACGAUUCAUCCACACUGAGCACAGCGGAAAGCACACGAAUCCCUCCCCAGAACUAACAGGAUGCAGCCACAGUGAGCACAGUGGAAGGCACACGAAUCCCUCCCCAGAACUAACACGAUGCAGCGACAGUGAGCACAUGGAAAGCACACGAAUCCCUCCCCAGAACUAACAGGAAGCAUCCACAGUGAGCACAGUGGAAAGCACAUGAAUCCCUCCCCCGAACUAACAGGAUGCAAAGACAGUGAGCACAGUGGAAAGCACACGAAUCCCUCCCCAGAACUAACACGAUGCAUCCACAGUGAGCACAGCGGAAAGCACACGAAUCCCUCCCCAGAACUACACGAUGCAUCCACAGUGAGCACAGCGGAAAGCACACGAAUCCCUCCCCAGAACUACACGAUGCAUCCACAGUGAGCACAGUGGAAAGCACACGAAUCCCUCCCCAGAACUAACAGGAAGCAUCCACAGUGAGCACAGUGGAAAGCACACGAAUCCCUCCCCAGAACUAACACGAUGCAGCGACAGUGAGCACAGCGGAAAGCACACGAAUCCCUCCCCAGAACUAACAGGAAGCAUCCACAGUGAGCACAGUGGAAAGCACACGAAUCCCUCCCCAGAACUACAGGAUGCAGCGACAGUGAGCACAGCGGAAAGCACUCGAAUCCCUCCCCAGAACUUGGCUUUCAGGAUUGCAGCAUUUGGGGUUUCAGUGUUUGGGGAUUAUGAUUUUCAGGAUUUUCGAUUUCAGAGAUUUCGACUUCAGGCUAAUUUUUACUCUCAGGCCUUUUUUGUUUUUAAAGGCCUGUAUACCAAUAUUUUCAGGGAUGAUGGCAUUCAGGAUUGUGUCCUUUGGGAUUAUAAUGGCACCACCCCUAGGUACUAGGCUCUUCCCAUACUCAGUAAUCACUACUUGUGAUUAUAGUGGGGAUAAAUAAGUCUGAAAUUUUGAAAUAUUUUAAUUGCACAAAUAAUGUAUAAAUGCAAUAACUUUAUUUUAAAUAAUUUAAAACAUUUUAUAACAAAGGCAAAAUUCCCCUUCAUCAUUGUCCUUAAUCCCUGUUUUCUCCCACCGUCCUACCCUCCUUCCUAGAAGUAGCCACUGCUGGCAUUUUGGCACCUCACCUUCAGCAUUACACAUCCCCACUCCCACAAUUUUUUUUUACAGACACACACAAAAAAUUGUUUUGUGUUGUUUUGAUAAGCAGCACCAUAUUGUAUAUAUAUCUGCAACAUCCUUAUUUUUACUUACUUACACAUCUUAGAUAUCUAUGUUUAUUACAUAUGGAUUUACUGUAUUUGACAUUCUAUACUCCAGUGCUUCUGCUGAUAGAAUUAAUUUAUCCUAUUGUAAUCUUCUUAGGAAACCCUUCAACAAGUAUUUCUGAUCGAACCAGUAAAGCCUCAUUGUUUUGGAGCCUACUUACUUGAAAUCUGUAAUAAUUAUGCCUAGAAUAGAAUUAAAAUUUAUGGUUGCCAAUUAAUGACUUAAAAGAAUAUUUGUCCCCACUAAGAGAUAAAUAGCUUUUAAAUACCAGUUUAAAACAUACCAAUUACACAUAAAUUUUUAUCUGUGUUUCAUUAUCUAACAAGGCAGUGGCUUGUUCUGCUGACCCUUAAGCAUUUGCAGGCGAUAAAAGGUGCAUGCCAUUAAAACCAUCCUCCAGUAGGACUGGGCACUAAUUAGGACUUUGCUUAGGUGAACGUAAACACAAUGGCUCCCUCUCCACUUUAUCUCGCCAUUCACUUUGUUCUGUUGCUUUUUGAUCAGGGUUCUGACAGAUCCUCAGGUCGGUGCUUCACCUCUUCGUGAGGAGGACUCCUCUUGGGGCCCAUCUCUGGGUACUUUGGGGAAGUGAAUACAGGAAGAUUAUCUUAUGGUGUUGUAGUACCCUGAAGCUUUUCAUCAUUUUGGAUGUCACUUUAAAAAGACAAAAUGGAAAUGAAUAAAAGCUAAUAACUAAAAGCGCAUUAUUUUGAGAUGGAUACGUGUAUAAAGUCUCUUACAGAUUGCUGCAGAAAUGCCCAGAUGUAUUUCUGGCUAAAACACCAAGAGAGUAUAUUUGGACCUAAUCGAUAUUAGAUACCACUUUCUCUUUCUCCUUUGAGAAUUAAACUCACUUGUGGCAUUUUCCUCAUCAUCCAUAAAAGUAAGAUGAAUGUUAUCAGUUCAGCCCUCAGGAUGGAGGUCCCGGGAAAUGAAAAGAAGGACCAGAGACUGCUGUUGCCGUAGGUUUAGAAAUUGCCAGUUCCCACCUCACUAGUUUUCGGUGUGUCUCUUGGUAGUCUUUGACUCUCUAAGUUCCUGUGCCUCUCACCCUUCAAGAUAGUCUAGGACGGGCAGGGCAACCAUCUCUCAAAGCAUGGAUCCACUCUCUGAACACAGAUUUAGGCCUAAGAAGUGGCCAGCACCUCCACAAGCCUGCCUCAUUGACGGGGAGAGGGAAGGGGGCAAUUGAGAUUCACUUCCCCCCAAACUAAGGCUCCACGUAGGAGGGAUGUGGGGGAGAUGAUGGUAUCUGGGGCAGUCCAAUAGCUCACUGUCCAUCUAAGCAUUCCUGGGAAGAAUGACAACAGUCUCAUUCGUCCUGCCCACCACCAACCCCAAAUGGAAUAAAUGGAAUUCAGCCUUCGCAGGCAGCUGGAGGAGUGAGCCUGCUGCUGCCUCUGCCUCAGGAUUCUUCAGAGGAAGCCACAAAGGGUUUGGAUGGGGGUGAACUUCAAAGUGGCAUGAUGAAAAGCUCGAGGUGAUGUCUUCCGGGAUUUAGCAAUGCCAUCUUUCUGUUUUAUGUUGGCUUUCUUUCUUGAUUUGGGAUUGUGUUUAUCAGUUCGGCUUAUUAAUAUUAAGUAAUUACAAACAAUCAUACAUGCAUUUAGGAACUUAUGUUUAAUCUCUGGCAACAGCAUAGUUUAUUGGCAAAAACAAAUGCACAUACACUGUAGGUUAGUGAUGAACAUCAGCAGACAGGCCUGCUCUUGAGAUUUUUGUCUAACUGAGGAGCGUCAUUACCAUGGCAGUAUUGUUCUGUUUUAUGUGAAAUGUGUUGGAUAUUUAUGUUGAGUUUAAGAUAUCUGGCACGAAGCUUUCCUCACACAGAAGAAAAUUUUCACAACUUUUGCAGAUUCUCAGUUUGUUUUCUUUUAUUACAAAUUAAAACAUUUUGAUUUAGAUUUUCUGUUUCACAAUUUUCAUUUUUAUGGUAGAACAUGAUAAGGCAGCUACAAGGUCAUGACUAAGAAUACAGAGUCCAGAAGCAGACAGGCUGUGUGACUGGGGGCGGUUAUCUCUGUGCUCCAGCUACAGCAUCUCAAAAUUGGAGAGAAUCUAAAUGAUGUUCUAUGUAGUUGGUCGCCUUUGUCAUGUUAUAUUUUCAGAUGAGAGCCACCUUGUUUUCUGCACAGACAUAUCCUAGUCAGUGAUUCUUCUCCUUCCCAUGUUGGUUUUUGAUGGUUUCAUUUUUGAAAAGGGAGACCAGCUUUUCAUUCGCUUUUUCAGCAGAAGCAUAAGGUAAGACAUAAGGGGUAAGGUAAGGCAUAAGUUGGAGGUAUGACUGGUAAUUCUGGAUUGAUGGCUUUGCAAAAGGAUGGCUGUUAUGCCUGCGGAACUGGCUCCCCUCCAAGAACCAUUCACACUGACUUCAUAUUAAGGAGGUUCUUUGAUUUGUUACUAAUAAGAGUAGUAUUUUUUAUUGUGGUUUUUAUUAGUGUAACAAUAACAAAUGCUUCUGUAGUUCAUUAUUAUGAACAGUAAACUCAUGUACCUGAUUAUGCUUUUUGUCGAGAUGAGGAAACUGUGGUAGGGGUUUGACUGGUAGCAGGUUGCAGGCACCCUGCGCUCCGUCUCUAUGUUCUUGUUCUUCCCUCAGCCUUUCUGCCCCCUCCCAGUCAUAGCCUCCCUCCUGAGCUCUGCAUCCAUCAGCAAAGACUUUAACCAUUUAGGUUUAGAUCAUCAUUACUUCUGACUAUUCGUUUUUGAUUGUGUUGUCAGAAGACUUUUUGUUAUAAAGAAGAGAAUUAUAAAACAUAGAUUUGAAGCAAGCAUAGCAUAUUUGUACCCUUUUAACAGAGGUGGCAGUGAAAUGACAGCUUUUUGCUGCGUGGGUGUUCUUUUUUUUUUUUUUUUGCUGACCUGUAGUUUGAUUUCCAGUGUCUAGACUUAACAGUCUGAAUUUAAACACGAGGCAUAUACACAAAAUCAUCUGGAACUGAUUUUUUCACACUAAACACUUCUUUCUGAUCCUACUUUCCAGGAGGCUCCUUCCUCCAAACAUACCUCCAGAUGAAAAUCACUUAAUUAACCAAGAAAGACUCAACCGCCCUUAACUGCUUUUCUAAACAGUCACACAUACUGGAUUUACUUAUUUUGAGACAUGACAAACCAGUUGCAAACCACAAAUUCAUUCUCAUGGGCCCUCCACACGGUCUCUUGUUCCUUCUGAAGAGGGUCUUGCUGAGGACCAUUUGUCCCCCUUCCUGCAGCAGCUACUCAGUCGGUGCCGGAGAGUGUGGCCUUUCGAACUAUUUGCGGUUUUCCUGCCACAUGAUGCUGACGGACCUCAGCCUCUCCCGGCCUUGGUGCACAUACAACAGCCUGUAAAAGCUCCACUUUCUAUUCCAGAUUGCUGUUAUGCGUCUGCUUCUCAUUCAAAGGAAAUAAGAGGAGAUGUAAAUCGUCGCUGUGCAGUUACGUGUUUAAUGAAAAUGAUCUUGCAUGCUAGAUUCACGUCCAGGAGCGAGUCGCCCUUACUGCUGGUAUUGAACUCACUCUCCUUGGAGCGCCCCAAGGCUGUGGGCUGUGGGGGGGCAUUAGUGUGUGUGGGCGCAGCUAUUAUUUGUACCAGGAGGCACAAGUCUGCACAGCAACCUGAAGAUUUAGAUUUUCAAGAAACUGCAAAUCCUGACACACCUGGUGAUAAAACCCAGAUGCUCUCCCCAACUCAUACCUUGUCCCGCAACUCCCACUCCCCACUUCCUGACUAGACUUUUUAUUUUUUGGUCCAGAAGAUAGGGGUAAGAGAAGAAUGCUGAAGGGAGUGAGUGGAUGAGAGAAUGCUUGGCUUACUUGCCCAUUAGAUAGUUCCAGCUCCAAAUACUGUUCUAAUUAAGAACAAAAUAAAACCAUUCUCCCCCACUGGCUGUCUGGUAUGUAGACAAAUUUGGAAAUAGGUAAACAGUUGCUGUAUUAGAAUUGGGUAUAUUUUAGCUUGAUGACAAUAUUUACUUGAUUUUAUCACUGAAGAGAAUCACGAUCUUUGUGACAUAUACAGUCCUUCUUAUUCUUUUAGCUCUAUCUUUAUUAAACUAGAUUGUCAUCAAAUGGUGGUACGUGACUUCAAAAGGACUCUACCAGCUCUUAUUCACCGGAAUUUUUACUUUUAUUGACUAUCUAAAAGUUUACCGCUUCAAAGAAAGACUGUUCCUACUGAGAUAAAGUACUGAAUUCUGCCACUCUCUCCUCCUGUCCCAGACUUUAAUUAUAAAAUCACAAUCACACCAGAUAGUAAGCCUUAAAUAUUUUAACAUUUUUCCCAGUGGGAAGACAGCAACACAUAAAACGACAUGCAAUUAUAUGAAAAGAUUUAUUUGUCCCUGACCCAGGAAGCUAUGCACCAGUGCUUUCAGAUAAUAGUCUGCCCGGCCCACCCUGAGGGAUCUAAUGAAUUAACAUAAAUACCUGUGAGUAGGUUAAGUACACACAAGGAGCAGAUUACAAAAGAAUGAAAACUUAAGCAAUUAGCAAGGAUUUUAAAACAUUGAUCUAUCAGGUGUUCUAGAAAGUAUUUGCUUCUACAUUUCGAGUUUAGCUCAAAUUUUACUGAGCAGCUUAAACAGCACUGUCUGCUUUUGCCUCUAGGUCACAGGUCAUUGUCAAAUUCAUUUAUAAGAUAGUUUCAAUCUGUACUUAUUUAGCAGUGCAGAGAAUUUUAGACACACUACCUUUUCACUGUUUGUAAAAAAAAAUUUGAAAAAUAAGAAUUGUAAUGUAAAAAAUAUUGGAAGACUAAUUCUUAACCUACAUGAAGAAACAGUUUUCAGCAGCUUUCUAAAUGUCUUGUUUACAUCCAAAUUGUUGAGAAGCUCGUUGCCAAUCUGUUAAUUCAUGAAAAUUCAACCUUUUAGGAUGUCCACUAAGCUGCCUUUUAUUAGCCCGGUUUGAAUGACUGUGUUCGUACUUGAGAUGAGUUGAACUGAAUUGCCUUAAAAAUUCAAAUCUGUAAUGAAUUCAUAAGGAGUUUUCAUCCCAAAGUUCAAAUUGGUAGGGCCUAGUAAUAACUUUAGACAUUUAUGUGGUGACGAGCUUUUAAUCUUCCUUAAGGUUUUUAAAACUCUGCAUGUACUGUCCUUCUUCUAUGUUCUCUUGUCCUUUUAGUUGGUUUUGGUAGAAAUUUUAUAAGGCAAAUUAAUGAAAGUUAUCUCCUGAGUGGCAGUUUACAACAAAAACAGAUGUAAAGGAGAAAAAAAUGAAAUGAAAAUUUGGAUUAAAGAAGAAAAAAGUCUCAUGUUAGUAACAGAUAUAACAAAAAGAGUGAACUCUACGUGGCUAUAAGUUCCUUGACAGCAAGGACUUUGCCUUUCUUAGGUGGAAUCUAUUGACAUGUAGAGAAGGAAUGUUUUACUUAGGAGGUUGUCAAGGAAUGUCUGUCAAGUAGGGGUAGAAGGAAGGAAUUAACAGGGCUUUGAGAACAUUCUCACAUUUGAAGUGCUAAUAAUUUCUGGUGUGAAUUUGGUGAUAACAGUGUUUCAGUAUUUAAUAUUAAUUUGAAUUUUCUGGCUGGUUAUUAACUUGAGUUACGUUUAUAGGUGAUGAAACAAACGAAGAGGAUUGCAUGUUUAUACACAGUAGAACUUGAGGGUUUUCUAAUAAGCAUACUUUAACAUUGCCUCAGCCUGUAAAUCUGGGAUUACAAGGCAGAUAAGUUUUAGGGUGAUUACUUCUUUCACCCCAUAAUUACUUCAUGGAUUUGCCGUGGUGUUUCUGUAAGUAGUGAGCAUCUCUAGUAAACUGACAUUUUGAUUCUAUUUAAACAACUCAUUUUACCCAGUUUUUCAGCAGCACAUUGACUGGAUAAAGUAAGGCGCGCAUCUGUCCUCACUUUUUUGAGUCUUGCUCCUAAGUCUUGUGAAGAAAAUAUGGGUGCACGUAUGCAUUCCUUUAUUUAGAGUAACUUCAUUGCAUGAAGUUGAGCUGAAGAACUAGGAGGAAAAUAGCUCUUUUUGUAAGUUGUGCUUUAGGAGACUUUGGAUUUAGCUAGGAAUGGGAUACUGAGAAAAACUGAGGUUUCACCUCCUCUAAACAAUGGGACAGUGUUCUCAUCUCUUUGGGACUAUAUACAUAUCUAUUUAUAUCCUGCUUUAGUCCAGAAGGAAUUUCAGCUUUGGAAAAAACCAUGCACACACACAAAGAUACAAAUAAAGUGUAAGUGAAGUAAUCAGAGUAAGAGGUUGGGGAAGGUAAGUCGAAACCAAAAGUGUAAUUAGUAUACAGAUUAUAGGCUCUGCAGACCUACACGGUCACAGGAAGACCACCACAUAUUUGGCUGUUAGCUUUUGAACAAAGCCAAUGCAAAGAGGAUAACAUGAACGAUGCACGGUUCCCAGUGUCUGUGCCAAAAUCGUCUAAGUUCAGUCCGGUCUAGAAGGCCGGGGGAUGGAGCUGACCUCAGGGGAACCCUGCUGAAGUUGUGACAUUUAUUCAGUCAAGAAGUAUUUAUUGGACAUGAACAAUUUGUCAGUGACCAUGCUAGACACUGGGGAUACGCAGUCCCACCUUUAAGGACACACAGUAUAGGGGAUAGAUCAAUAAAAUAGACUGAAAUUGCAGUGCAGUGGGAUAAAUGCCGUGGAGGGGAGUAGGCAUGAGGUAUUAGACUGGGAGACGGGGAUAUCUGGGGAAGAUUUGUGUUGGUGCCUCAGCUGACUUCUAAAGCCUACAUACUUCUUAACCCAGGCAAAAGUGGAAAUGCAUUCUAGGUAGAGGACAAGUAGCCAGAACAAAGUGACAAAGGUAAGAAAGUGCCAUGCUUUCUGAGAACUGCAUUUAAUAGUUCAGUUUGACUAGAACAGAGAGUACAAAAGGGAGAAAGUGUUGAGAAAUUAGAGAGAAAACUUGGGCACAUCAGAAAAAGGCCCUGUUUUCCACUAUGCUCGGGAGGUUGAGGGCAGUGGGCAGCCUUCCCGGCAAAGAGCCUGUGGAGAAUGGAUGGAAGGAUAGGCAGGAGACAAGGUAGGAGUUCCGGCAGUGAUGCGAGCAAGAGAGAACAGAGGCCUCCAUUAAAGCCCGAUAGUGAGGACAGGAAGAAGGGAGUACAGGGAAGUUACUCAGGAGCAAAAUUGACAGGAUUUGGCCUAGAAGAGAUGAGGGACAGUGAAGAAGUAGGAAUUGGGAUUAUUUCUUGGUUUCUGGCCUAGUCGCUGUGCAGAAAAGAGUUAACCUAGCAGGCCUAAACUGCUUAUCCUUGAAAAGACCUGGGCUGGGCGUGGUGGCUUACGCCUCUAAUCCCAGCACUUUGGGAGGUUGAAGCGGGUGGA